AUUAGAUACCCUGGUAGUCCACGCCGUAAACGAUGAUUACUAGGUGUGGGGGGACUGACCCCUUCCGUGCCGCAGUUAACACAAUAAGUAAUCCACCUGGGGAGUACGACCGCAAGGUUGAAACUCAAAGGAAUUGACGGGGGCCCGCACAAGCAGUGGAGUAUGUGGUUUAAUUCGAAGCAACGCGAAGAACCUUACCAGGUCUUGACAUCCUCUUGACCGGUGCUUAAUCGUACCUUCUCUUCGGAGCAGGAGAGACAGGUGGUGCAUGGUUGUCGUCAGCUCGUGUCGUGAGAUGUUGGGUUAAGUCCCGCAACGAGCGCAACCCUUACCUUUAGUUGCUACGCAAGAGCACUCUAGAGGGACUGCCGUUGAUAAAACGGAGGAAGGUGGGGAUGACGUCAAAUCAUCAUGCCCCUUAUGACCUGGGCUACACACGUGCUACAAUGGCGCAAACAGAGGGAAGCGGACCGGUGACGGCGAGCGAAUCCCAAAAAGUGCGUCCCAGUUCGGAUUGUAGUCUGCAACUCGACUACAUGAAGCCGGAAUCGCUAGUAAUCGCGGAUCAGAAUGCCGCGGUGAAUACGUUCCCGGGUCUUGUACACACCGCCCGUCACACCAUGGGAGCCGGAAAUGCCCGAAGUCAGUGACCCAACCAAUAAGGAGGGAGCUGCCGAAGGCAGGUCUGGUGACUGGGGUGAAGUCGUAACAAGGUAGC
RNAcentral lists this ribosomal RNA (718 nucleotides) under uncultured bacterium. RNAcentral describes it as "bacterial SSU rRNA". It matches the Rfam family "Bacterial small subunit ribosomal RNA", at positions 777 to 1500 of the family's 1533-position model. The record is from RNAcentral.